CUGUGCCUUUGUAUGUUGGCAGUAUUUAAUUUUCUUUUGAUUUUUACAAGGGCUCACAGCUAAGAGGCUGCCCUAUGUCUCAGAGGAGACUUGGGACUUGGACUUCAGGAAUGUUUGAACUAUUACAAAUUUGGCAAUUCUUAAAGAUGGACUCAGUGCAGAUUUCAUAAAGAGUAGGUUUGGUGAAAUGGUGUGCAAUGCCUUUCCCGAAGCCAAAGGAAGAAAGAAAGGAGAAAUGUUAAGACUGCCUUGAAGCAGAGCCCGGAGCAGCCCCGGAGCCGAGUCCCCCGUGCUGAGGCCCACGGGGGUCUGCGGCUGGGCCUCGUCUCCCCGCGCUCCACAGCUCAGAGCCCCGCUCUUGUUCGGCUUCAGCGAUGACGCCCCCCCCAUUGCACCUGUGUUCAGGUCUUCCGCCGGAAUGGUGGCUGCUGGCGUUCCGUUUGGGCCUGCUGGUUCUGCCCGCCGGGUGAUCCUCCUCUCCGGUUUUCGGCAGGUGGUGGGGUUGGGGUCCGGUUCAGGCUCAGUUCCCAGUGUGGUUGGAUCUGGCUCAGGGUUUUCCCGCGUGUAAACGUCUGCCCACGCUUAGAGCAGAGAAGGCCGCAGCUGCAAGGCUGGGGUCAUGCAGGGCCGGGGAGGGGCUGUUUGUGGUGGAAGCGCUGUCACAGUGGGCGUGGAGGUAAGGCUCCUCCCCGUGUGGGCACACGUAUGCACGAUCACGCUCCUCCCCGUCCACAGCACAAUCGCACUGGUCACACUUAGCGCGUUUCUCGCUCUCGUGUGACUUGCGAGGCCGCGUGAGGGCACAGCGCUCACGAAUCAGCGUGGCAGUAAAGGGCCUUGCUCGCCUUGCUCGGUAAGGAAUGCUGCUUUCGAGAGUGGACCCCAGAUCGCUUUUGGGCUAUGACAGUGUCAGUGGGACAAUGAAGCUCAGCCACAUUUUGUGGGCUUCUGUGAGAUGCGCGUCUUCGUGCACGGCUCUGGGUAAACCGAGCGUGACAAACGUAACAUUCAUAAGGUUUUCCCUGAAGGGGUUCUCCCGAGCCUCGUGAGCUUCGUGUAUCCUGCGAGCACAACUGCACAGCUGCACGACUGUGCUGGUGGCUGGCGGCGGACGUGCCCGUCUAAUUUGCUGACUCCUACGCUGGCAUCGCCACCCGCGGGACACUUAGAUGGCCUCUCCGGGAUGUGUUCGUGACGACAAUGCCUCACCUGUCUCCCCUGGCCACAAAGGCCGGGCCAUAGCCUGGGCACCGAGGACGGCCGCCCAGGUGGGCAUCAAGGUGAUUCUGCAGGAGGCUGACUUCUGAAUGCCCUGCCGAGAGAGCUCUCGCGUGGUUUCACAUCAGUGUGGCUUUUCAUGGGACCACCCAAAUUUGAGCAGCUCCGUGGACGCGUGCAACUGCAAAGCUACACUGGAGUGACUUCUUCACCUUUCUUUUACACUUUCGUUGGCUCUGGAGGCCCCCUCUCACCAGCUACCUUUUCUGCGUUGACCUCCGACCUCCGACCUUCCUGCUUUCCUUCCUCAGUUGUAGACGGACACAUCCACGUCUUCGCUCUCCUCUGUGUAGUGCAGUUUGCUCUGUUUGGUUUUCUUUGUUUUUUGGCUGGGGGCUGAUAGCCUGGGUCUUUUUGCCAGCGAGGCUCUUCCUGAGGCGGAAGUUCCCCUAGCGCUAGAGUCUCCACCUCCACUGGCCCCGCUUUCACCACCCGAAGCCCUGCAGGCAAAGAAAAGGCGAGACGUGGCGUGGGUUCGCUUUCUGCAAGGCCCUCUCUAGCUCUUCACUCUCGUGAGGCCCCUGAAGUUCUUCUCGUGCAGUGGCAGCAACAGGUACAGUUGCAGGAGCAGGUACUGAACAAGUCGAGGCUCUCCUACGUUUACAGGCUGUUCUUCCACACUGAAGACCUGCGCUCUGCGCAUUGUCUGCAGCCGCCUCUGCGCACCUGCACCGGCCACUGCUGUGACCUCUACCGCCCUUCCUUUUAUUAUUUUUGAGAGAAAAUUUUGCUGCAUAUAUAAUUCAAGGUUGCUGCUUUUUUCUUUCAACACUUUAAAUAUUGCACUCUUCUCUCUUCUUGCUUCAGUGUUUUUGUUUUUGUUUUCUGAGACAGGAUCUCAAUAGAUAGCCCAAGCUGGCCUCGAACUCAUGGCGAUCCUCCUGCCUCAGCCUGCUGAGUGCUGAGAUUACAAGUGUGCGCCACCAUGCAUGGUACAAUGGUUUUUAGAGGAGCACUGGGGAUUGAAGUUGUAGCCUUUGCCCUGAGCCACAUCUUCUGCCUUGUCUUUAUUUUUUAUUUUGAGACAGGGUCUCGAUAAGUCACUAAUUUUCC
Molecule: long non-coding RNA, 2331 nt
Filed under: Heterocephalus glaber (naked mole-rat)
Lineage: Eukaryota; Metazoa; Chordata; Mammalia; Rodentia; Bathyergidae
Description: lncRNA (ENSHGLG00000040656.1)
Source: RNAcentral